Small nuclear RNA from Etheostoma spectabile (orangethroat darter), 162 nucleotides. RefSeq annotates it as U1 spliceosomal RNA. The record is from RefSeq and is a predicted model, not a curated record. The transcript has a single exon. NCBI's taxonomy places the organism in Eukaryota, Metazoa, Chordata, Actinopteri, Perciformes, Percidae.
AUACUUUACCGGCAGGAAGAUACCAUGAUCCAAGAAGUGUGGUUCACCCGGCGAGGCUUAAACCAUUGCACCCCGUUAUGCUGACCCCUGCGAAAUGCCCCAAAUUGGAACUCUCGACUCAUAAUUUGUGGUAGUGGGUGACUUGCGUUUCGCCUACUCUCC